Molecule: long non-coding RNA, 847 nt
Organism: Pipra filicauda (Wire-tailed manakin)
Lineage: Eukaryota; Metazoa; Chordata; Aves; Passeriformes; Pipridae
Exons: 2
Source: RefSeq, a predicted model, not a curated record
CGGCACGGGCGGCAGCGCCGGGGGGCCGCGGUGGAGCUGCGGAGAGAGAGAGGGAGAUCAGGAAUGCCCGCAUCCCGCCGGGAAUGUCGCCUCGGGAGCACCUGGGAAGAGCAGGGGAGGAAGGUGAGGGUGGGAUGGAUUCCCCCCUACACACCCCUGCGGCCCUAAAAACUGCCCGAGGCCAGCUCCCUGAUCGACCAGUCCAAUGAAAUUUGGGGUUUUCCAGGGAUUUGGGGUUUUGCAGGGAUUUGACGCCCCUCGGGCACCACAAUCCCAUGGGCAGCAGCCCCGUGUCACCCCCGAGCCAGGGGUGCCCUGGGGCUGUGCUGGUGGUGUGGGGACCUCAGGACAACCCCUGGCAUUGCCACCCUGAGGGAUCAGCCAAAUUAACUCCGGGAUUUUCCAGCAGGGAAAAAGGGAUGGUCUGGCCGGCAGAGCUGGGCAAAGCCGGUUGAGCAGCACGGGGCACUCCGCUGGAGAGGCUGGGAAGGGAUUCCUGGUGUCUCCAGGAGAAGCAGCUUCGCCUUCCCGGGCCCAGGGAGCCGCCGAGGGAGCGCCGGGAGCCGGAGCCGGAUGCAAACGAGGAGGAGAACUCCCAUUUUUAGCAGCCAGGUGAUUAUGGAGCGUCAGAACAAACCCUGCCCAGGGGGAGCCGAGGGUUUUUUGCCCUCUCCCGACGUCUUUCAAGCCCAGGCUGGAUGAUGGUUCCUGGGGAUGGGGCCGGUUCAAAGCUCGGAAAAGCCGCUGCCUUUGAGUCCCCAACCUCAAACACCCACUGGCUUUUUGUAUUCAAAUGCUCUCCCCCCAAAAAAAUAAUAUAAAAUAAUAAAAAAAUAGAUCCAAGCGU